GGGUCCGUAGCUCAGUUGGGAGAGCGCUGCCUUCGCAUGGCAGAGGUCGCGUGUUCGAAUCACGUCGGAUCCA
Molecule: transfer RNA, 73 nt
Filed under: Lacticaseibacillus nasuensis
Lineage: Bacteria; Bacillati; Bacillota; Bacilli; Lactobacillales; Lactobacillaceae
Also listed under: 1 other name
Description: tRNA-Ala
Rfam family: tRNA
About the family: Transfer RNA (tRNA) molecules are approximately 80 nucleotides in length. Their secondary structure includes four short double-helical elements and three loops (D, anti-codon, and T loops).
Source: RNAcentral